This 601-nucleotide long non-coding RNA is filed under the name Mytilus galloprovincialis (Mediterranean mussel). Lineage: Eukaryota; Metazoa; Mollusca; Bivalvia; Mytilida; Mytilidae. The record is from RNAcentral.
AAAAAAAAAAAACUGAAACAAAAGAUUGUCUUCAUAUCCAAUUGUUUUCACCGUGUGUCUUGCAAGAAGCAAGUUCUCUUCACUCUCUGAAGUCGCCCCUGCAUGUUUUUCGUGAUCCAUAUUUCUAUUUUACUUUUAGUUUUCAGAGUUGAUGGUCCAUUGUUUGUACUUCUGUGUCCCGGGUUUGUCUAUUGUUCAUUUAUUGUCGUACUGUAUGACUUUAGUAUGAGUAUUGAUUUUCAUUUUCAAACGUGUGGUUUUGCAAUGUUGCAUGUCCACAGAUGUUCAAACAUUGCCCCAGAAAAUAUUCUAAGAAUAUAAUAUGCUACUGGUCACAGAAAAAAAUGGUCGUUUCUGCAUAGAGAAUUGAACUUGAUACCAAGAAAUACAAAACUGGCGCUUUUUUGUAGAUAAAAUUAGAUAGCUGACAUGGUUAAAUUAAAGUUAGACCACCAAUUUCCUUGGUAUCAAAGCAUCUAUAUAAAAAAAAACAUCAAUGUAUUGCCAUAUGACCUUUUACAUUGAAGGAUUAAACUUGCAUUAAGUCGUGUUCAGACUCUUUAACAGUAAUAAAGGAAUGUGGAGGAAAUGUGCACGAGAC